This 253-nucleotide ribosomal RNA is filed under the name uncultured bacterium. RNAcentral's name for it is "partial 16S ribosomal RNA". It matches the Rfam family "Bacterial small subunit ribosomal RNA", at positions 524 to 776 of the family's 1533-position model. The record is from RNAcentral.
UACGUAGGGACCAAGCGUUGUUCGGAUUUACUGGGCGUAAAGGGCGCGUAGGCGGCGCGGUAAGUCACUUGUGAAAUCUCUGAGCUUAACUCAGAACGGCCAAGUGAUACUGCAGUGCUAGAGUGUGGAAGGGGCAAUCGGAAUUCUUGGUGUAGCGGUGAAAUGCGUAGAUAUCAAGAGGAACACCUGAGGUGAAGACGGGUUGCUGGGCCAACACUGACGCUGAGACACGAAAGCGUGGGUAGCAAACAGG